Molecule: ribosomal RNA, 493 nt
Filed under: uncultured bacterium
Lineage: Bacteria
Description: partial 16S ribosomal RNA
Rfam family: Bacterial small subunit ribosomal RNA
Source: RNAcentral
AUUGAACGCUGGCGGCAUGCUUCACACAUGCAAGUCGAACGGUAACAGGUUAAGCUGACGAGUGGCGAACGGGUGAGUAAUGCAUCGGAACGUGCCCGGUCGUGGGGGAUAACGCAGCGAAAGCUGCGCUAAUACCGCAUACGAUCUGAGGAUGAAAGCGGGGGACCGUAAGGCCUCGCGCGAUCGGAGCGGCCGAUGUCAGGUUAGGUAGUUGGUGGGGUAAAGGCUCACCAAGCCAACGAUCUGUAGCUGGUCUGAGAGGACGACCAGCCACGCUGGGACUGAGAAACGGCCCAGACUCCUACGGGAGGCAGCAGUGGGGAAUUUUAGACAAUGGGCGAAAGUCUGAUCCAGCAAUGCCGCGUGCAGGAAGAAUGCCUUCGGGUUGUAAACUGCUUUUGUACGGGGCGAAAAGGUCUCCUCUAAUACAGGGGGCUCAUGACGGUACCGUAAGAAUAAGCACCGGCUAACUACGUGCCAGCCGCCGCCGUAA